RNAcentral lists this ribosomal RNA (497 nucleotides) under uncultured bacterium. Its description in RNAcentral is "partial 16S ribosomal RNA". It matches the Rfam family "Bacterial small subunit ribosomal RNA", at positions 28 to 507 of the family's 1533-position model. The record is from RNAcentral.
GAUGAACGCUGGCGGCGUGCCUAAUACAUGCAAGUCGAGCGAACAGACGAGGAGCUUGCUCCUCUGACGUUAGCGGCGGACGGGUGAGUAACACGUGGAUAACCUACCUAUAAGACUGGGGUAACUUCGGGAAACCGGAGCUAAUACCGGAUAAUAUAUUGAACCGCAUGGUUCAAUAGUGAAAGACGGUUUUGCUGUCACUUAUAGAUGGAUCCGCGCCGCAUUAGCUAGUUGGUAAGGUAACGGCUUACCAAGGCAACGAUGCGUAGCCGACCUGAGAGGGUGAUCGGCCACACUGGAACGGAGACACGGUCCAGACUCCUACGGGAGGCAGCAGUAGGGAAUCUUCCGCAAUGGGCGAAAGCCUGACGGAGCAACGCCGCGUGAGUGAUGAAGGUCUUCGGAUCGUAAAACUCUGUUAUUAGGGAAGAACAAAUGUGUAAGUAACUAUGCACGUCUUGACGGUACCUAAUCAGAAAGCCACGGCUAACUACGUG